Molecule: long non-coding RNA, 2546 nt
Filed under: Canis lupus familiaris (dog)
Lineage: Eukaryota; Metazoa; Chordata; Mammalia; Carnivora; Canidae
Description: lncRNA (ENSCAFG00845023898.1)
Source: RNAcentral
AUGCAACCAUUUAGUCUAAACUUAGCUUAUUUGAUACAGUAAGAUGCAUUCAGGGGCUCCUUUUUUUAAGAGACUUUUAAAAAAAUCCUAAUUUUUUAAUCUUGAAUCAGUAUGAUCAGGUAUUUGGGAUUUACUUCAUCUUAAAUGGAAAUACUGCAUUUUUAUAGGUCCUCAGAUUGUUGGAUGGGAUGGGAUUUUCAUUCUUUUGCUGGGUCAGCGUAUCUUUAAUAUAUAUACUAUUUCUGUAAACCAAAGUCUCCUAUGACAAGUGCACCUAAUUUAUAUUUUAAUUAUGGUCUAGCUUUCUAUCAAGUAAACCAUCCACAAUCUUUGUUUAGCUGCUCAAUAUUUUAAUCAGCUAAAAUUAUGACAAAGGAAAAAUUUUAUUCAGCCAGCUUAGAAAACCCCUGUUUUUACCUAACAAAAUGAAGGUAGGGGUGAGGAGGGGGUAGGAUUACUGGAGAAAUAGUGAUUCUGAAUCUAUGGUAUAAAUUACUUUAGAACGGAAGAAUUCUGUUUUGGAGGUAAGGGAAUCCCAGUUCCCUGGGUGUUGAUCAGUGUCUGAUUUUGAAAUACCCAGAUUGAGCUUUCAAGGUGUGUGGCAUGUUGCAUGAUCCAGAAGGUAACCAAAAUUCUGGAGUAAAGGAUUGAAAAAAUCUGAAGUCAUGGGUGGCUUUUAAAAUCCAACUAUCAGAAAUCUGCACUAUAUAUAUUUUUUCUUACACAGAUGUGAAUCAAGAAGGGCAAAUUUUGAUGAGAUAGCUCCUUGGAAAUGUUGCAGCUUAAUUAUCAAGUGAAUAGGCCCUUUGUGUUCUUUCAUCUGAUGGAUUGGUUUUCAGUCUGUGUUCACGAACCAAGGGGUUCCUCUGAGGUGCCUCAGAAGUAGUGGUUUAAGAGAGAAGGGGAUGGAGGGAGAGGAGGGGCCUGGUUGGUAUUUGAGUUGGAGCCUCUAACUCCCCACUCUCAACCCCUUGUACAGGAGCAGUUCCCAAGUCCUCUCUUUUAUGUAUUGGAAUUCCAAGUAAGUUUUCCCAGAGGUGGGAGGUGGAGGCGGGCGGGGAUAAAAGAAGCAGAAAUUUUGCUGUUUAGAAAAAAAGAGUUGAGAACUGCUUGUGUAGUUUCGAAGCAUUUGAAUUUAUUUCAUUCAGCCAAAUUGGACCGCUACAUGCAAGCUAGUCGUAGUCCUGUGCGGUGGUAACGUGCUUCCACUGACCUUUUCCUUCCCAGACACCUUGUGUCUUAGUAGCACUCGAGAACAUCUUGAAAUGUACAGAAAAGGUUUCUAAACUCCAUCAGUUGUCAGCUUUCACGGUAGUACCUUAUCGGCUGCAGACUCAUCUCUUGUAUGUUAUAUUAAAGCACUAGUGCAGUGUGAUUGUGCCUACUGUUACAAUCUUCCAAAAACGAAGUCCAUGCUGAACACAUUAGAGAAGUCCUAACCAAUGGAUGCAGGAGUAAAUGCUACUAUCAUAACGUACAGUAAAGCAGGCUAGUACCAUCGCUUUUGAGUGCCUUUUUAACUUUAUAAUGAUGACUUAAUAGAGCUUUAAAAGAAAUCUACCCUAGCAGUCUAUGGUAUCACCAACAUGAUUUAUAAAGACAUGAUUUAGAUUUCAUUUUUCAAAAUUACGUUACCUGAUUACUUCCAAACAGGUGCUAAGCAAACUAAACCCCCACUGUGUCAUUAAAUCUGAGACUCGCCCCUCAUGUGUAAUGUGAAUAUUUAUUUCCACACAUCCCUCUUAGCUGGGUUUUUCUGCUCCCUGCCCCUAGUUGUGUUAUUCCAGAUAUGUGAUGUCACGUUUCCAUACAGUGCCUCUCCAUCAUGAGUGCUUAAUUAUGAACAGUGAUUACUUUGUAGAGCUCAUAUGCAGUACAGAGGUGAGUUUUGUUUUAGAGGGUCUAAUUUCUUGAUGUAAAGAAUUUUUAAAUAGUGCUGUGUAUAGUGUACAUUCUGUUUUGCACAUAGUUUGUUGCCCUGAAUGGGUUUUAUUUUUACCGAGUCUCCUUCUUCUUCUUUUUUUGGUAGCAUUUACGUUCAGAGCACAAAACUCCUUUCUUUUAAAUACAAUGUAAUUCGCUUUAUUUUACAACACUAAGUCUGCUUUGAACUUCCAGUGUGUUGAACUGGUUGCAUUGUUGGGGAUUAGAGAUUAUUUCAGUCAUCUGUACAGUUUGAUAGAGCAGCUCCUCCUGCUUCUGUUUUUAAGCGGUAGCACGCAGCCGGUGGGUGCCACACGUGGCACCUAACGUUAAGUUAGGGUGAUGAUUGUACCAAAUGCUGAGUUGUUUUGUUUCUAGAUGUAAUUAGUUCACUUCAUGUAAUAUUCUUCUUUCUCUCAAACUGACUUUAAAAACAAAGUUUUAUCAUUUUCAUUGUAUUUGUAUUUAUUACAGAGUGUUUUAGCUUUGAUAUUCUUUGUAUUUUCACUCGGUUGUUACAUGAGCUUUAUCAAUAACAUCUGUAUAAAUGGUUUUUAAAAAUUAACUAUGUAUGUGCCCAUGCCGAAGUUGAGCAAUAAAAUGAAUGCUGUUUGCACUGUCAC